Molecule: long non-coding RNA, 684 nt
Organism: Lates calcarifer (barramundi perch)
Lineage: Eukaryota; Metazoa; Chordata; Actinopteri; Centropomidae
Exons: 3
Source: RefSeq, a predicted model, not a curated record
AGUAAAAAUGAUAUCAGUCUUUCAGUCUGUUCCAGCUUUGUCAUGCUUUCACUUGCUUCCUCCUCAGUGUGUGGCUGUUACAGUAUGUGAAGGGGGAGGUUUUCACUGCACGCACAUCUGUUGCAAGAUAUGCACAGGAAGGUUUCUGGAGCGCACUGAGAAUAAGUGGAUAUCCCUCUUUCUUUCUUUUUUUUUUUUGAUCUAUGUCCUAUUAUAAAAAGUUUGAGAUGUGGAGCCAUUUGGAACUUAAAACGGGAACACAGAGGAACCUGAUUCUACAAAAGGUUCAAACAUAUGUGGCCUGAUGCCCGAGAUACCAACUAGCUUUUUGUCCUCGUCCACCUCCUCCAUGAGUGGGGGUGAAGUAUGAAGCGAACGAUCCUCAACGUUUACCAUCAGAUUUUUCGGCUUUAUCCUGCAUGAUUCUGAGCUCUGAAGUCUCUCUCAAAGUUACUUUGUUGAGAUAUUUCAGUCUGGAGCAAGGCGGUGGACAGACUCAUGGACCGACCAACAUCGUUAUCCCCAGAGCCACGGUGAGUAAGUAAUAACACUACAAGAUAGCUGAAAAAGUUUAGUGAGCUGUGUAUUUUUUUUCAGUGUUGUUAGAGUUGCAUUAAAACUCACACUGGUCUGCAACUUGCCGUGUGUGUAUGUUCUUAAAGUUCGAAUUUUGUUAAUGCAUAU